AGGAGAAUAUGGCACCGUAGAGAACGACGAGGUGACGUCACAAUUUCUUUUCUUUGAGUUUCUUUAAUGUUGUUGAUCUUGAUUUUUUCGUUGUUAUUUAAAUUGUUAUAGUAUGCUGUAUUAAUAUGAUAUGGUGAAAAAUAAUUACUCUAGACCAGUGAAUGUGUGUAUCACCAUGUCUACAAAAAGAGGAAGAUGUGAAGAAGAUGAACUCGCCGACUAUACUAUAUGUAGUGAAAGAAAAUUAUAGUCUAGUACGAUUCUUAUAUUUUUGUACCAUUCGAAAGUACCAAACUAAAUAGUAUGCUACGGUUCUUGUAUUAUUGUACCAUCGAUUGUUUGAUAAAUUCAUUAUUUAUCAAUUUCUAGUUUACAACUAUAUGUACUAUACUAUGUAUUUUGUUCUAUACUAUUUGGGUUUAGAGUUUAGUAAUUAAGAUUUAAGGCUUAGUAUUUGGAAGGCGAGGGUUGAGGUUUGGGUUAAGUGACCGUAUUAUGUAUGUUCCUGUUGACGAUUAAUAAAGAGUGUUCUAUUUUACUCACCAAUUUGUAUUAUACUAUGUAUUUUCUUCCAUUAUAUUGGGUUUAGAGUAUAUACUUGGGUUUAGGAUUUUGUGAUUAGGAUUUAGGGUUUAGUAUUUGGAAGGUGGGAGUUUAGGUUUGGGUUUAGUGAUAGCAUUUUUGGCUUUAAUAUUCAAAAGUAGGUCUGAGUUUAGCAUUGAGGGGUUGUGUGUUGGAUUGGAGUCCUAUAUUAUUCAAAAAUUAGGUUUGGAUUUAGUUUAAUAUUACAUAAUAUUUAUACUAUUUUCAGAUUUUGAUAAUUGGGUUUAAGGUUUAUAUUUAGGUUUAGGGUUCAGUAAUUAGGGUUUAGUAUUUAGAUGGAAGGGUGAUGUUUAAAGUUUAGGGUUUAGUAUUUAAGAGUUGAGGUUUGGAGUAAAGUUUAGCAUUUACUAGAUGUGAAUGGAUUUUGAAUCCUAUUAUAUUUUAGUGAUAUGAUAUAAAAAAAUCAGAUGCAUAUUUAUGUGUUAAACAAAAGUGUGGCGUUGGUUGUAUUACAUGUGAUAAUUAAUUGUGGAGUGUCAAAUUGUUGAUGUCAUCAAUUUUCUCUUUAUAUUACUGGCAACUUAAACAAAAAUGGGUAGUACCGGAUAAAACUUGACAUAAUUAUUAUGAACUUA
This 1178-nucleotide long non-coding RNA is filed under the name Brassica napus (rape). Its description in RNAcentral is "long non-coding RNA (BNAP_LNC005759)". The record is from RNAcentral. Lineage: Eukaryota; Viridiplantae; Streptophyta; Magnoliopsida; Brassicales; Brassicaceae.